RNAcentral lists this transfer RNA (63 nucleotides) under Dipodomys ordii (Ord's kangaroo rat). It matches the Rfam family "tRNA". From Rfam's summary of the family: Transfer RNA (tRNA) molecules are approximately 80 nucleotides in length. Lineage: Eukaryota; Metazoa; Chordata; Mammalia; Rodentia; Heteromyidae. The record is from Rfam by way of RNAcentral.
AGGGAUUUAGCUCAGAGCAUUUGCCUGAAAAGCACAAGGCCCUGAGUUCGAUCCUCAGCUCUG